Molecule: transfer RNA, 93 nt
Filed under: Mixia osmundae IAM 14324
Lineage: Eukaryota; Fungi; Basidiomycota; Mixiomycetes; Mixiales; Mixiaceae
Rfam family: tRNA
About the family: Transfer RNA (tRNA) molecules are approximately 80 nucleotides in length.
Source: Rfam by way of RNAcentral
GAUCCUCUCGUAUAGUGGUUAGUACGCUAGAUUUUGAUAGCGUUACUUGCUUGGAAAUUUCUAGUAACGCAAGUUCGAACCUUGCGAGGAUCU